AGAGUUUGAUCAUGGCUCAGGAUGAACGCUAGCUACAGGCUUAACACAUGCAAGUCGAGGGGAAACGAUAUUGGAAGCUUGCUUCCGAUAGGCGUCGACCGGCGCACGGGUGAGUAACGCGUAUCCAACCUGCCCACCACUUGGGGAUAACCUUGCGAAAGUAAGACUAAUACCCAAUGACGUCUCUAGAAGACAUCUGAAAGAGAUUAAAGAUUUAUCGGUGAUGGAUGGGGAUGCGUCUGAUUAGCUUGUUGGCGGGGUAACGGCCACCAAGGCUACGAUCAGUAGGGGUUCUGGAGAGGAACGGUCCCCCACAUUGGAACUGAGACACGGUCCAAACUCCUACGGAGGCA
This 353-nucleotide ribosomal RNA is filed under the name uncultured bacterium. RNAcentral's name for it is "bacterial SSU rRNA". It matches the Rfam family "Bacterial small subunit ribosomal RNA", at positions 8 to 350 of the family's 1533-position model. The record is from RNAcentral.